RNAcentral lists this ribosomal RNA (894 nucleotides) under Campylobacter jejuni. RNAcentral describes it as "partial 23S ribosomal RNA". It matches the Rfam family "Bacterial large subunit ribosomal RNA", at positions 324 to 1216 of the family's 2925-position model. The record is from RNAcentral. Lineage: Bacteria; Pseudomonadati; Campylobacterota; Epsilonproteobacteria; Campylobacterales; Campylobacteraceae.
UAAGUUUAGCAGAACAUUCUGGAAAGUAUAGCCAUAGAGGGUGAUAGUCCCGUAUGCGAAAAACAAACCUUAGCUAGCAGUAUCCUGAGUAGGGCGGGACACGAGGAAUCCUGUCUGAAUCCGGGUCGACCACGAUCCAACCCUAAAUACUAAUACCAGAUCGAUAGUGCACAAGUACCGUGAGGGAAAGGUGAAAAGAACUGAGGUGAUCAGAGUGAAAUAGAACCUGAAACCAUUUGCUUACAAUCAUUCAGAGCCCUAUGUAGCAAUACAGGGUGAUGGACUGCCUUUUGCAUAAUGAGCCUGCGAGUUGUGGUGUCUGGCAAGGUUAAGCAAACGCGAAGCCGUAGCGAAAGCGAGUCUGAAUAGGGCGCUUAGUCAGAUGCUGCAGACCCGAAACGAAGUGAUCUAUCCAUGAGCAAGUUGAAGCUAGUGUAAGAACUAGUGGAGGACUGAACCCAUAGGCGUUGAAAAGCCCCGGGAUGACUUGUGGAUAGGGGUGAAAGGCCAAUCAAACUUCGUGAUAGCUGGUUCUCUCCGAAAUAUAUUUAGGUAUAGCGUUGUGUCGUAAUAUAAGGGGGUAGAGCACUGAAUGGGCUAGGGCAUACACCAAUGUACCAAACCCUAUCAAACUCCGAAUACCUUAUAUGUAAUCACAGCAGUCAGGCGGCGAGUGAUAAAAUCCGUCGUCAAGAGGGAAACAACCCAGACUACCAGCUAAGGUCCCUAAGUCUUACUUAAGUGGAAAACGAUGUGAAGUUACUUAAACAACCAGGAGGUUGGCUUAGAAGCAGCCAUCCUUUAAAGAAAGCGUAAUAGCUCACUGGUCUAGUGAUUUUGCGCGGAAAAUAUAACGGGGCUAAAGUAAGUACCGAAGCUGUAGACUUAGUUUAC